Long non-coding RNA from Prunus mume (Japanese apricot), 808 nucleotides. RefSeq lists it as uncharacterized. NCBI's taxonomy places the organism in Eukaryota, Viridiplantae, Streptophyta, Magnoliopsida, Rosales, Rosaceae. The record is from RefSeq and is a predicted model, not a curated record.
AGAGCCUUGGGGAGCAGAGCCUGAGGGUUGGGGUGGAAUAGCAACUCAAUGAAGAACUUUUUUGAUUUGUUUGCUCGGAUGACCGAGAUUAAAAACAGUACAACGGUGGAGGUUGAAAUAAGAGAGGUUGAGAGAGGUGAUGUCUCGGAGGGAAAGCUAGUUGCUAAGAUGCCACCUGCGGGUCGCAAAUUGAUAAGAGGGAAGAAAUUCCUGGAUCAUAGUUCUUAUACUGGUGUUCCCAGAACCGUUCAUGUCAUCGCAACUGCUAAUGGUACGAGGACCGCGACGGUCCUUCCAGCACAGUAUUUCAAUACCAACGGACGAGUCACCUUUCUUCUAGAAAAUGGAAAACUGGUGGCGGCGGCAGAAACGAUCCCCCAAAAAAGCAUCAUCAUGAGGGGUAUUGGGCGUUUAUCACACUCUUCAGGGGUAUACUCAUAAGUUUGCUGAGAACCGGAUGGAGCUCGUGGAAAUGAGUUCAAGUUGGAGAAUUUUGUGUUGGACAAGAUAUACAGUAUUUCAUGGCUUCUGUUCAGGUUUGGAUUGCAGGGAGUCGUGACAAUAUGGGCUAGUCUGUUAUUGUUUUGCUUUCAAUAAAACUGCUUUUUAAAGCAGUUAAGAGUGUUUCACAAUAUGAGUUUGUGAAUGUGAUAUCAAAGUUUUGUAAAAAAAUUUAUGUAAAAGGGAUGUGUUAUUUACUUAUUAAUAGCAAAGCCAAAAUGCCAACGAAUUCUAGCACAUUAAAAAAGAAUAUUGAUAAGUUCGAAUCCUCGUAACGUACGUUUUGAAAGUGUCGUAUUAAAAAAAA